GUGCUUGCUUUGGCAGCACAUAUACUGAAAUUGGGAAGGAUACAGAUUAGCAUGGUCUCUGCGCAAGGAUGAUACAUAGAUUUGUGAAACAUUCCAUAUUACA
Dipodomys ordii (Ord's kangaroo rat) is the source of this 103-nucleotide small nuclear RNA. The record is from Ensembl. Lineage: Eukaryota; Metazoa; Chordata; Mammalia; Rodentia; Heteromyidae.